This 179-nucleotide ribosomal RNA is filed under the name uncultured bacterium. RNAcentral describes it as "partial 16S ribosomal RNA". It matches the Rfam family "Bacterial small subunit ribosomal RNA", at positions 1305 to 1500 of the family's 1533-position model. The record is from RNAcentral.
CUGAAACUCGCCUCUUUGAAGUCGGAAUCGCUAGUAAUCGCAGAUCAGCAUGUUGCGGUGAAUACGUUUCCUGGUCUUGUACACACCGCCCGUCAAACCAUGAGAGUCGCCAACACCCGAAGUCCGCUUUGCGGCCUAAGGUGGGGGAGAUGAUUGGGGUUAAGUCGUAACAAGGUAGC